UGCAAGUCGAACGCGAAAGGGGAGCAAUCCCUGAGUAGAGUGGCAAACGGGUGAGUAACACGUGGGUGACCUGCCUCAGAGUGGGGGAUAACGUCCCGAAAGGGACGCUAAUACCGCAUAACAUCCUGCCUUUGGAAAGGCGGAGAUCAAAGCCGGGGAUCGCAAGACCUGGCGCUUGGAGAGGGGCCCGCGUCUGAUUAGCUAGUUGGUAGGGUAAUGGCCUACCAAGGCAACGAUCAGUAUCCGGCCUGAGAGGGCGGACGGACACACUGGGACUGAGACACGGCCCAGACUCCUACGGGAGGCAGCAGUGGGGAAUUGUUCGCAAUGGGCGCAAGCCUGACGACGCAACGCCGCGUGGAGGAUGAAGAUCUUCGGGUCGUAAACUCCUGUCGAGCGGGACGAACACUUAUCCGGUGAAUACCUGGAUAGGCUGACGGUACCGCUAAAGGAAGCCCCGGCUAACUCCGUGCCAGCAGCCGCGGUAAUACGGGGGGGGCAAGCGUUGUUCGGAAUUACUGGGCGUAAAGGGCUCGUAGGCGGCCAACUAAGUCGGACGUGAAAUCCCCAGGCUCAACCUGGGAACUGCGUCCGAUACUGGAUGGCUUGAAUCCGGGAGAGGGAUGCAGAAUUCCAGGUGUAGCGGUGAAAUGCGUAGAUAUCUGGAGGAAUACCGGUGGCGAAGGCGGCAUCCUGGACCGGCAUUGACGCUGAGGAGCGAAAGCCAGGGGAGCAAACGGGAUUAGAUACCCCGGUAGUCCUGGCCCUAAACGAUGAAUGCUUGGUGUAACGGGUAUCGAUCCCUGUUGUGCCGAAGCUAACG
This 823-nucleotide ribosomal RNA is filed under the name uncultured Pseudomonadota bacterium. RNAcentral's name for it is "bacterial SSU rRNA". It matches the Rfam family "Bacterial small subunit ribosomal RNA", at positions 56 to 857 of the family's 1533-position model. The record is from RNAcentral. Lineage: Bacteria; Pseudomonadati; Pseudomonadota.